RNAcentral lists this long non-coding RNA (897 nucleotides) under Vulpes vulpes (red fox). RNAcentral's name for it is "lncRNA (ENSVVUG00000021760.1)". The record is from RNAcentral. Lineage: Eukaryota; Metazoa; Chordata; Mammalia; Carnivora; Canidae.
GACGAAGUCCAAACACUGCAGUGGGUUUCUCUGCCAUCCAGUGGGCUUCUGUUGUAGACCAACUACAGCUCAUACAUUUGAUCUUUGAGUCAGUGUCAAAGUCCGGAUUUGAAGUACUAGCAUGCUCUUCAUAUCUAACCACCAUCUCUUCAACUCCAGAUGAUUUUCAUCAGAUGUAACCAGAUGAAGACCUGUGGAACAGAUGGAGGGCACAACCUGGAAUGGAGACUUAUGGAGACAUAUUUGUCAUUAAAUCUCUACAAAUCACAUUUUACCACUUCAUGUGGUGUACACCUGUGGCUGCUUGAUUAUGUACUUUGCUGCCACACAAGAGACUCUAGCCCUGUAAAUGCCUAUUUUGUUGUCUUUAUAAUGUGCCUUGAGACAAUAACAAAAUAAGGGGACUGGAGUGUCAUAGGGAGAUAAUGUCCACAGGAGGUGCAUAAGAUGCUUUAACAAGACCUCUUCCUGCCAAAAUUUCUAUGUUUUAUAUUCAAGCCCCAUGUUCCUCAGGGGUGAAAAUGUGAGUUUGGUAUUUAAGAUUGAUUUUCUUAGUUUCCUGUGAUUAUAAACACACCUGUUCAAAAUAACUUUGUGAUGAUAGACUAAAGAAAUUUUGUUCUAAGUGUUUCUUCUCAUAAGCCCUGUAUUUUGUCUAGAACAGGAGUUGGUCUUUUGAUAGCUGAAUCUCAAAACAGCAAGUUGUUCAAGGGGUAGAAUUUGUAAUAUUUUAUAAACAUAUAGUCUGUGGCUCAUGGGUGGCUCAGUCAGUUAAGUGUCUGCCUUCGGCUCAGGUCAUGAGCCCAGGGUUCUGAAAACAUAUAGUCUCAACAUAGUAAUUUAAAAUUAAAAUCUUAAAAAAAUAAAAAAUAAAAAAAUUAAAUUGAACUUUUGGGG